Molecule: transfer RNA, 69 nt
Filed under: Semele scabra
Lineage: Eukaryota; Metazoa; Mollusca; Bivalvia; Cardiida; Semelidae
Description: tRNA-Cys
Source: RNAcentral
GGUGGUGUAGUUUAUAUACAAAACUUUGAGUUGCAGCUUCGGAAAAGGGCGUGAAGUGCCCCAUUACCU